GGAAGAUGAAAAGUCCAAGACUGACAGAAGAAUCAGAGCAAGGAUGAAGCAGAGUAAAAUGAAGUACAGGCAAGAUGGAAAAACCAGAAUUCUCUCCCUGGCUCUGGAGUGGCGUGAUUUACCUGGAGCUCAGAGUUUGCCUUGGGAUUUUUUUCAAUUUGGUGUUCCUGGAACUGAAUGGCUUUGGCAUUUGUGUUAACAACUUAUUUGCUACCUCUGUGGUUAAGAGUGCCCCACUUGGCUUGACGCUCUAGGCAUCCUAAAUCAUCCAGUAACUGGAGUUUCCAUCCCUAAAAUCCCUCUGACCUGUACUGCAAUCCUUCAAGAUAAACAUAUCACUAAAAGUUUCUGGGGCCGGCGAUGUAGCUCAGUGGCACCGCGCCUGCCUGUGGGCUUCAGAGUGAGACUUUCUGGAAUGCAAAUCUGCCUGGGAACACUUGAAUGACCACAGGCAAGUUCUUGAGCUUCUCCAGGCCUCUGUGCAUAUGGACAGACAGCUCCAGAAAAUGGAAACUACAUUUUCCUUUGCAGAAUUGUAUGAGUGGCCAAUGUGGUAGGGCAC
RNAcentral lists this long non-coding RNA (562 nucleotides) under Heterocephalus glaber (naked mole-rat). Its description in RNAcentral is "lncRNA (ENSHGLG00100037417.1)". Lineage: Eukaryota; Metazoa; Chordata; Mammalia; Rodentia; Bathyergidae. The record is from RNAcentral.